This 1358-nucleotide ribosomal RNA is filed under the name uncultured bacterium. Its description in RNAcentral is "bacterial SSU rRNA". It matches the Rfam family "Bacterial small subunit ribosomal RNA". The record is from RNAcentral.
AGAGUUUGAUUCUGGCUCAGAACGAACGCUGGCGGCGUGGAUAAGACAUGCAAGUCGAACGAGAGAAUUGCUAGCUUGCUAAUAAUUCUCUAGUGGCGCACGGGUGAGUAACACGUGAGUAACCUGCCCCCGAGAGCGGGAUAGCCCUGGGAAACUGGGAUUAAUACCGCAUAGUAUCGAAAGAUUAAAGCAGCAAUGCGCUUGGGGAUGGGCUCGCGGCCUAUUAGUUAGUUGGUGAGGUAACGGCUCACCAAGGCGAUGACGGGUAGCCGGUCUGAGAGGAUGUCCGGCCACACUGGAACUGAGACACGGUCCAGACACCUACGGGUGGCAGCAGUCGAGAAUCAUUCACAAUGGGGGAAACCCUGAUGGUGCGACGCCGCGUGGGGGAAUGAAGGUCUUCGGAUUGUAAACCCCUGUCAUGUGGGAGCAAAUUAAAAAGAUAGUACCACAAGAGGAAGAGACGGCUAACUCUGUGCCAGCAGCCGCGGUAAUACAGAGGUCUCAAGCGUUGUUCGGAAUCACUGGGCGUAAAGCGUGCGUAGGCUGUUUCGUAAGUCGUGUGUGAAAGGCGCGGGCUCAACCCGCGGACGGCACAUGAUACUGCGAGACUAGAGUAAUGGAGGGGGAACCGGAAUUCUCGGUGUAGCAGUGAAAUGCGUAGAUAUCGAGAGGAACACUCGUGGCGAAGGCGGGUUCCUGGACAUUAACUGACGCUGAGGCACGAAGGCCAGGGGAGCGAAAGGGAUUAGAUACCCCCGUAGUCCUGGCAGUAAACGGUGCACGCUUGGUGUGCGGGGAAUCGACCCCCUGCGUGCCGGAGCUAACGCGUUAAGCGUGCCGCCUGGGGAGUACGGUCGCAAGAUUAAAACUCAAAGAAAUUGACGGGGACCCGCACAAGCGGUGGAGUAUGUGGCUUAAUUCGAUGCAACGCGAAGAACCUUACCUGGGCUUGACAUGUAAUGAACAACAUGUGAAAGCAUGCGACUCUUCGGAGGCGUUACACAGGUGCUGCAUGGCCGUCGUCAGCUCGUGUCGUGAGAUGUUUGGUUAAGUCCAGCAACGAGCGCAACCCCUGUUGCCAGUUACCAGCACGUGAAGGUGGGGACUCUGGCGAGACUGCCCAGAUCAACUGGGAGGAAGGUGGGGACGACGUCAGGUCAGUAUGGCCCUUAUGCCCAGGGCUGCACACGUACUACAAUGCCCAGUACAGAGGGGGCCGAAGCCGCGAGGCGGAGGAAAUCCUGAAAACUGGGCCCAGUUCGGACUGUAGGCUGCAACCCGCCUACACGAAGCCGGAAUCGCUAGUAAUGGCGCAUCAGCUACGGCGCCGUGAAUAAAAUCCCGGGUCUUGCACA